RNAcentral lists this non-coding RNA (162 nucleotides) under chicken gut metagenome. The record is from RNAcentral.
GGCGGUACGCGCAGAGAUGUGCGUUUAAAAGGGAAGAGAGCCGAUAGCUCCGCAGCCCCCGCUACUGUUCGGCGACUGUUUCCGUCCACUGUGCUUUUUUCGGGCAUGGGAAGGACGAAAACGCCAUAAGUCGCUUUUUUUAAGCCAGGAGACCUGCCCCCC